RNAcentral lists this unclassified non-coding RNA (382 nucleotides) under soil metagenome. RNAcentral's name for it is "partial contains 5.8S ribosomal RNA, internal transcribed spacer 2, and large subunit ribosomal RNA". The stretch from base 1 to 120 matches the Rfam family "5.8S ribosomal RNA", at positions 35 to 154 of the family's 154-position model. The record is from RNAcentral.
GAUGAAGAACGCAGUGAAAUGCGAUAAGUAAUGUGAAUUGCAGAAUCUCGUGAAUCAUCGAAUCUUUGAACGCACAUUGCGCCCUAUGGUAUUCCGUAGGGCAUGCCUGUCUGAGCGUCAGCUCCCACCCCCUCAAGUCCUUUUUUUUUUUUCUCUUUUAAAAAAAAAGGAGUUUGGAUUACUUUGAGGAAGUGUCACCAAUGGUGCUGCUCCUCAGAAAUUUAUAGGCAGUAUGGUCAAACCUGAACCAGGCGUAAUAAUUCUAUAAAGUCGUCUAACAAGGGAAUGUCUGUAUUAGCCUUCAACCCAUUGAUAUUUACUUGGGUGACCUCAGAUCAGGUAGGGAUACCCGCUGAACUUAAGCAUAUCAAUAAGCGGAGGA